AUGGUUAGGAGUGUACCGAUUGGUGAGAAGCUCUUCAUAGGAGGAGACCUCAAUGGCCACGUGGGUACAUCUAACACAGGUUUUGUAGGGGCGCAUGGGGGCUUUGGCUAUGGCAUCAGGAAUCAAGAAGGAGAAGAUGUCUUAAGCUUUGCUCUAGCCUACAACAUGAUUGUAGCUAACACCCUCUUUAGAAAGAGAGAAUCACAUCUGGUGACUUUUAGUAGUGGCCAACACUCUAGCCAGAUUGAUUUCAUCCUCUCGAGAAGAGAAGAUAAGCGUGCGUGCCUAGACUGUAAGGUGAUACCUGGGGAGAGUGUUGUACCCCAACAUAAGCUGGUGGUUGCUGACUUCCGCUUUCGGAUUCGUGUCCAGCGGGAUAAGCGUGCCAAGGUCGCUAGAACAAAGUGGUGGAAGCUCAAGGGGGAGGUAGCUCAGGUGUUCAAGGAGAGAGUAUUUAAGGAGGGCCCUUGGGAGGAAGGAGGGGAUGCGGACAAUGUGUGGAUGAAGAUGGCGACUUGCAUUCGUAAGGUGGCCUCGGAGGAGUUUGGAGUGUCCAGGGGAAGGAGAAGCGAAGAUAAGGAUACCUGGUGGUGGAAUGAUGAUGUCCAGAAGGCGCUUAAAGAGAAGAAAGAUUGCUUCAGACGCCUAUACCUGGAUAGGAGUGCAGACAACAUAGAGAAGUACAAGAUGGCGAAGAAGGCCGCAAAGCGAGCUGUUGGUGAAGCAAGGGGUCGGGCAUAUGAGGACCUCUACCAACGGUUAGGCACGAAGGAAGGUGAAAGGGACAUCUAUAAGAUGGCUAAGAUCCGGGAGAGGAAGACGAGGGAUAUUGGCCAAGUCAAAUGCAUCAAGGACGGAGCAGGCCAACUCUUGGUGAAGGACGAAGAGAUUAAGCAUAGAUGGCGGGAGUACUUCGACAAGUUGUUCAAUGGGGAGAAUGAGAGUUCUACCAUUGAACUGAAUGACUCCUUUGAUGAGACCAGCAUGCGUUUUGUGCGGCGCAUCCAGGAGUCUGAGGUGAAGGAGGCUUUAAAAAGGAUGAAAGGAGGCAAGGCGAUGGGCCCUGAUUGUAUCCCCAUUGAGGUGUGGAAAGGUCUCGGGGACAUAGCGAUAGUAUGGCUAACCAAGCUUUUCAACCUCAUUUUUCGGGCAAACAAGAUGCCAGAAGAAUGGAGACGGAGUAUAUUAGUACCAAUCUUCAAGAACAAGGGGGAUGUUCAGAGUUGUACUAAUUACCGUGGAAUUAAGCUGAUGAGCCAUAUAAUGAAGCUAUGGGAGAGAGUCAUUGAGCACCGCUUAAGAAGAAUGACAAGCGUGACCAAAAAUCAGUUUGGUUUCAUGCCUGGGAGGUCGACCAUGGAAGCCAUUUUCUUGGUACGACAACUUAUGGAGAGAUAUAGGGAGCAUAAGAAGGACUUGCAUAUGGUGUUCAUUGACUUGGAGAAGGCCUAUGAUAAGAUACCGCGGAAUGUCAUGUGGUGGGCCUUGGAGAAACACAAAGUCCCAGCAAAGUACAUUACCCUCAUCAAGGACAUGUACAAUAAUGUUGUGACAAGUGUUCGAACAAGUGAUGUCGACACCGAUGACUUCCCGAUUAAGAUAGGACUGCAUCAGGGGUCAGCUUUGAGCCCUUAUCUUUUUGCAUUGGUGAUGGAUGAGGUCACAAGGGGUAUACAAGGAGAUAUCCCAUGGUGUAUGCUCUUUGCGGAUGAUGUGGUGCUAGUUGACGAUAGUCGGACGGGGGUAAAUAGGAAGCUAGAGUUAUGGAGACAAACCUUGGAAUCGAAAGGGUUUAGGCUUAGUAGAACUAAAACCGAGUACUACUAG
Molecule: ribosomal RNA, 1827 nt
Filed under: Triticum aestivum (bread wheat)
Lineage: Eukaryota; Viridiplantae; Streptophyta; Magnoliopsida; Poales; Poaceae
Description: partial small subunit ribosomal RNA
Source: RNAcentral